AGGUGAAAAGGACCCCGGAAGGGGAGUGAAAUAGAACCUGAAACCCUGUGCCUACAAGCACUGAGAGCACGUCAAUGUGUGAUCAGGUACUUUUUGUAGAACGGUCCGGCGAGCGAAUGUAUGCAGCGAGGUUAAGUUGUUCAGCAACGAAGCCGCAGCGAAAGCGAGUCUGAAAUGGGCGCUUAGUUGCAUGCAUUGGGCCCGAAACCGGGUGACCUACCCAUGGUCAGGCUGAAGUGGAGGUAAAACUCCAUGGAGGGCCGAACACACGCCCGUUGAAAAGGUCGGUGAUGAACUGUGGGUAGCGGAGAAAUUCCAAUCGAACUCGGAGAUAGCUGGUUCUCCCCGAAAUAGCUUUAGGGCUAGCCUUGCAUUAGAUAUUCGGAGGUAAAGCACUGAAUGGCCUAGGGGUCGAGAGACUACCGAAGCCUAUCAAACUCUGAAUGCCGAAAUAUCGAUGUGCAGGAGUCAGACAGUGUGAGAUAAGUCUCAUUGUCAAAAGGGAAACAGCCCAGAUCUACAGCUAAGGUCCCAAAGCAGGUUUAAGUGGAAAAGGAUGUGGAGUUGCGAAGACAACUAGGAUGUUGGCUUAGAAGCAGCCACUCAUUCAAAGAGUGCGUAAUAGCUCACUAGUCGAGUGACUCUGCGCCGAAAAUUCAACGGGGCUAAAACCUGCACCGAAGCUUAGGCAGAUAUGCAAAUAUCUGGGUAGGGGAGCGUUGUGUACGAGGAGAAGCAUUAGCGUAAGCGGGUGUGGAUUGUACACAAGUGAGAAUGCCGGAAUAAGUAGCGCGAAUGAUGUGAGAAUCAUCAUGGCCGAAAGCCUCAGGUUUUUGGAGCAAGGUUCGUCCGCUCCAAGUUAGCCGGGAGCUAAGGUGAGGCCGAAAGGCGUAGCCGAUGCACAUACGGUAGAGAUUCCGUAGCCACCGAAAUUGUUAAGUGUGGGGACACAUUGAAAGGGUAUGACCCGGGCGUUGGUUGCCCCGGGCGUAAGGGACUGAAAUUUAGUAGGGAAGCAUACCUGGACGAUGGCGAGAAAAGCCACAUGUAUUGAUAAGGUGCCCGUACCGCAAACCGACACAGGUAGGUAGGAAGAAGAUUCUAAGGCCAACGGGAGAAGGGUUGUUAAGGAACUCGGCAAAUUGACCCCGUAACUUCGGAAUAAGGGGUGCUCUAGUGAUAGAGCCGCAGAGAAUAGGCCCAAGCAACUGUUUAGCAAAAACACAGGUCUGUGCUAAAUCGAAAGAUGACGUAUACGGGCUGACACCUGCCCGGUGCUGGAAGGUUAAGAGGAUGUGUGCAAGCACUGAAUUGAAGCCCCAGUAAACGGCGGCCGUAACUAUAACGGUCCUAAGGUAGCGAAAUUCCUUGUCAGGUAAGUUCUGACCCGCACGAAUGGCGUAAUGAUUUGGGCACUGUCUCAACAGCCCGCCCGGCGAAAUUGUAGUACCGGUGAAGAUGCCGGUUUCCCGCGACAAGACGGAAAGACCCCAUGGAGCUUUACUGUAGCCUGAUAUUGGGUUUCGGUAUUAUAUGUACAGGAUAGGUGGGAGACUAUGAAACAGCGGCGUCAGCCGUUGCGGAGUCGUCCUUGGGAUACCACUCUUGUGAUACUGGAAUUCUAACCUGCGGCCUUGAAUCAGGCCGGGGGACAUUGUCAGGUGGGCAGUUUGACUGGGGCGGUCGCCUCCUAAAAUGUAACGGAGGCGUUCAAAGGUUGGCUCAGCUUGGACGGAAACCAAGCCAGAGAGUGCAAACGCAUAAGCCAGCCUAACUGCGAGACAGACAAGUCGAGCAGUAACGAAAGUUGGAGUUAGUGAUCCGGUGGUAUGUGAGUGGAAAUGCCAUCGCUCAACGGAUAAAAGUUACCCUGGGGAUAACAGGCUGAUCUCCCCCAAGAGUCCACAUCGACGGGGAGGUUUGGCACCUCGAUGUCGGCUCAUCGCAUCCUGGGGCUGUAUUCGGUCCCAAGGGUUUGGCUGUUCGCCAAUUAAAGCGGUACGCGAGCUGGGUUCAGAACGUCGUGAGACAGUUCGGUCCCUAUCUGUCGUGGGCGUAGGAUAUUUGACAGGAUCUGUCCCUAGUACGAGAGGACCGGGAUGGACGCACCUCUGGUGCACCAGUUGUUCUGCCAAGGGCAUAGCUGGGCAGCUAAGUGCGGAUCGGAUAAACGCUGAAAGCAUCUAAGCGU
RNAcentral lists this ribosomal RNA (2191 nucleotides) under fermentation metagenome. RNAcentral describes it as "bacterial LSU rRNA". It matches the Rfam family "Bacterial large subunit ribosomal RNA", at positions 512 to 2788 of the family's 2925-position model. The record is from RNAcentral.